This is a long non-coding RNA of Bombus impatiens (common eastern bumble bee), 645 nucleotides long. RefSeq lists it as uncharacterized. NCBI's taxonomy places the organism in Eukaryota, Metazoa, Arthropoda, Insecta, Hymenoptera, Apidae. The transcript has 3 exons. The record is from RefSeq and is a predicted model, not a curated record.
UGAAAGAAGCAAACACAGAACGAAGGUGUUUGGCGAGUGUAAGGUAGCGUAGAUAUCUAUAUCAUUGGAGAGGAUAGGACUUGCGCAUUGGUUGGUAUUCUGUUUAGCUUCCUCGUCGGCGACGUACACCUAGUUCCAUCAGUCACGUGGAAAACUUCCGCGGCUUCGCUUCGUUUCCCUGGUUCCUUCUUUUCUUCUGACUCGGUCGUUUUGCGUUCUUUCGUGUUAUGUUUGGCAGCAAGUAACAUCGAUUGAUUCAAGAAAAGAAGAAGUUGCGGUAUCUAACAACUGGCAGAAUCUGAUAAAGUUUACACCUUCCGGUGGAGAAUCCAACGCGAACGAAAUUACGAUAGCCAGGGAUCUAACCGCUUGCCGGAUUCUGGAUGAUCUAGAGUUAGGAAAAAGACGACGACGAUUUCAUGCGACGGAAGCAGGUUCUUCUAUCCCCACAUCAUAGUAAUGUAUACGUCAGACGAUAUUCUUCCUUCAAAUCACACCAUAUGGACAAGUCUCGAGGAUUAGUCUUAAAUUUCGGUAACUUUUAAUUUUGAACAGAAUAUACCGGGCGUACUGCGGAAACCGGUAAGAAUCUAAUUCAAGCUACAACACAUAUCCAUAUCUCAGUACCAAUAAAGAAUUAUACUU